RNAcentral lists this unclassified non-coding RNA (255 nucleotides) under uncultured fungus. RNAcentral describes it as "partial contains small subunit ribosomal RNA, internal transcribed spacer 1, and 5.8S ribosomal RNA". The stretch from base 1 to 73 matches the Rfam family "Eukaryotic small subunit ribosomal RNA", at positions 1759 to 1831 of the family's 1831-position model. The record is from RNAcentral. Lineage: Eukaryota; Fungi.
UCAAACUUGGUCAUUUAGAGGAAGUAAAAGUCGUAACAAGGUUUCCGUAGGUGAACCUGCGGAAGGAUCAUUGUUGGAAUUUUGAUAUCAAAAAAAAAAACUAAGUUUUUUUUUCACGCCCAAUAUAAGAGAAAUAAGAGGGGAAACCAAAAACGUGGUUGCCUGACAUAUUUUAUGUGUUAUCUGGAGGACAAGAAAAAAAAAACAACUUUCAACAACGGAUCUCUUGGCUCUCACAUCGAUGAAGAACGCAGC